GAGGGGAGGUACAACCAACGAGAACUGCUAAUUCUUGCAUCUGGGACUAAACCCCCAGUCCCCUU
Molecule: transfer RNA, 65 nt
Filed under: Turdus philomelos (song thrush)
Lineage: Eukaryota; Metazoa; Chordata; Aves; Passeriformes; Turdidae
Description: tRNA-Ser
Source: RNAcentral